RNAcentral lists this ribosomal RNA (460 nucleotides) under uncultured bacterium. Its description in RNAcentral is "partial 16S ribosomal RNA". It matches the Rfam family "Bacterial small subunit ribosomal RNA", at positions 338 to 795 of the family's 1533-position model. The record is from RNAcentral.
CCUACGGGUGGCAGCAGUGAGGAAUAUUGGUCAAUGGACGAGAGUCUGAACCAGCCAAGUAGCGUGAAGGAUGACUGCCCUAUGGGUUGUAAACUUCUUUUAUAAAGGAAUAAAACGAGGCACGUGUGCCUUUUUGCAUGUACUUUAUGAAUAAGGAUCGGCUAACUCCGUGUCAGCAGCCGCGGUAAUACGGAGGAUCCGAGCGUUAUCCGGAUUUAUUGGGUUUAAAGGGAGCGUAGAUGGGUUGGUAAGUCAGUUGUGAAAGGUUGCGGCUCAACCGUAAAAUUGCAAUUGAUACUGGCAGUCUUGAGUACAGUUGAGGUAGGCGGAAUUCGUAGUGUAGCGGUGAAAUGCUUAGAUAUCACGAAGAACCCCGAUUGCGAAGGCAGCUUACUAAACUGUGACUGACAUUGAUGCUCGAAAGUGUGGGUAUCAAACAGGAUUAGAUACCCGUGUAGUC